RNAcentral lists this ribosomal RNA (270 nucleotides) under uncultured bacterium. Its description in RNAcentral is "partial 16S ribosomal RNA". It matches the Rfam family "Bacterial small subunit ribosomal RNA", at positions 524 to 776 of the family's 1533-position model. The record is from RNAcentral.
UACAGAGGGUGCGAGCGUUGUCCGGAAUCACUGGGCGUAAAGGGCGCGUAGGUGGCGCCGCAAGUCGGUGGUGAAAGCUCGAUGCUCAACAUCGAGUCGGCCAUCGAAACUGCGGGGCUUGAGCACUGUAGGGGCAGAUGGAAUUCCGGGUGUAGCGGUGGAAUGCGUAGAGAUCCGGAAGAACACCGGUGGCGAAGGCGGUCUGCUGGGCAGUUGCUCGCAAGAGCCAAUAGCCGACACUGAGGCGCGACAGCGUGGGGAGCAAACAGG